GUAACUCAUGCUUUCAAAAUAUCAGGAAGCAAAUGAGAAAAGGAAAAAAAGACAUUCAUUGUAUAUGCUGUGAAGUAAUCCUGCCAAAGGACACUUUGGGCUCCGCAGUGAGUAUAUUUUUUCCUUAAAAAUUGCCAAUUUCUUGAUCUAUAUUCUAUGAUAAAAGUUUUAAUAUUUUGCUAAGUUAAUUAGUAUUGCCUAUUGACCAACAUGUUCUAUUUAGUGUACUGCUUCACCAAGUGCCAACAUAUACGUCUCCAGUGACUGCUGAUGGCUGAGUCUCCUUAUGUUAGUAAAUUUCUAAACAUUUUUCUUAGUACAUGGAGUAACGUGUUAUGUUGAUCAAUGUUUGAUGACACUUAAAUGUAACUACAAUGCAGUAAUUCGAAGGUAAGAAAAAGUUGCCAUGACUC
RNAcentral lists this long non-coding RNA (413 nucleotides) under Homo sapiens (human). Its description in RNAcentral is "HSALNT0111991". Lineage: Eukaryota; Metazoa; Chordata; Mammalia; Primates; Hominidae. The record is from RNAcentral.